Long non-coding RNA from Mercenaria mercenaria, 2865 nucleotides. RefSeq lists it as uncharacterized. The record is from RefSeq and is a predicted model, not a curated record. The transcript has 3 exons. Lineage: Eukaryota; Metazoa; Mollusca; Bivalvia; Venerida; Veneridae.
CACGAUAUUCCCCAUGCCAAGUGUUGUGUCUAUCACACAAUUACAAAAUCGAUCUCGCUGAGUAGUGAUUAUUCCUGAUCGCUAGAAUUCCACUGUUUAUGCUGGACGUUUAUUGAAAACGGUAGGUAAUUUAAAAAUCAACGGCCCAAUUCUGGUGUGUCUGUUUUGGAAUUGGCUUACAUUCCUGUGAUGACGGCAGGACAAAACACAGAAAGGUAAACAGUUACUUUCUCAUAAAUAUCGCUUUGAUUUACGUACUAGUAUAUUUAAUAGAUACGUAAAUGGAAUAGAUUAAAGUUGGUCUGGUACCCGUAAUUUUCUCUUGACACACUAUCUACUGUCUAUCAACAACCCAAAACUUCGAAAACAGUAAAAUUUGUUGACUCAAAAGCGGUGCUCCACUUCACCACUUCACUAAGGCAUGGGUGGAAUCUGGGUAGAAAAACAGACACGUUACUCAUUUGUUCUUUGUACAAUUUAGAAACAGCAGUAGAUUUACAUGCUGUCCAGUGUCAGCCAUGUCUCUCCAGAUAGCAAGCGAGUGUUUCUUCCCAUGCUUUUCCUUCAGUAUACAGCGUCUAAGAUGUACAGUUUUAACUUGCAUCAAAUGAAGUCGAUUUCAAAUACGGCAGUUUAGUUCUAGAAAAAAAUAAACAGUUUUUUUGGAGAUUGUAUACUCUUAGUUCAUUCCACAUAUAGUUUAUAAUAGUACUAAAUUGCAAUCUUACCACUGACAAAACAGGCAACUGAGCCGGUGGCAUUUUCUGCGUAAAUUAACAGAAUUUAACUCGGUUUUCGGGACAAAAGAAAUAAAUUAGGUGGAAAGCUUAUAAAAUACAAUCAUUCGUAAUUUGCUCUGUAAAGGCAGUUUCGGGGGCAUUUAUAAAGUAUGUCAAGACAAAAUUACAGGUACUGAAACAAGUUUGGUCCAUCAAAAUUACUUAUCUAUUAACCAUUUGUAUAUCAAAGCGAUAUUUGAUACACUAUCACGUUUGAAAGAAAAGGCAUGCAUGUGUUCGGCCGCCAUCAUGUGUAGUUUCUGUCAAUUCCAAACAAAGAUCAUGUCAAUCACGACAGUGGAAUAGUACAUAGGACGCACCCGGGAAAGGUUUAGAGCAAAGGGUAGACGUUGUAAAGCAGCAAAUUUUAAAUGUCAGUCGCGGAAGUAUAAAACCGUUAAGUCCGCAUUUUUCUUGUCUGUUGGUAUUCGUUGUUGUAUAUGAAUCCCUCAAGAAGUUUACAGUGGUCUCGUCAACUUCUUAAUGAUCUUAAGAGUGUUUAAUCACACACCUAAAGUAAGACUUAUUUGUCAUGUCAUGUUGAGAGUGGCUGAAGGUAAAUAUUCUGAAUCAAAUGUAAUCAAAAUUAUCGCAUGUUUAUAUUUCAAGGUGUUUGAAACUUUUCUACAGGAGAAUAAGUCUUUUUUUAUGUUCAUGGAUCACCUUUCACUGGAAUUCAAACCUUUUUCGGAAGUAGAAAAAGUAACGUGUCCGCGCAUAGCUAGCAAAACGUCAUAUGAGAUAUGAAAUAAAUUAUUAUAGAGGGACAAAACUAUUUUUUGAUUUGUACUUGUAUCAUGUGAAUCUGUAAUAAGCUUUAUGCAAAGCUCAUUAGAUUGGGUCUGGUGUUUAUAUUUUAUGUUUUGUAUAUGCAUCUAUCAUAUAUGUCACUUACUUACUGACGGACGGACGGACGGACGGACUCACUCACUCACUCACUCACUUACUUACUUACCUACAUUAUAGUCUUUAACUUGUCCGUUUUAUAUUUCAGUUGUCAUAUCGAGAAAUAUAUUUAUUGGUAGUUGCAAAACAGCUUUAGAAUUUACAAACCAUGACUCAUUUUUACGUUAAUAUACGAUGGAGUUUUUCUAACUAAUUCAUUUGGCCAACCGUGCGAAGCUUUUGUUGAAAUAAAACAUGCUGCAAACACGACUUUCAAAAUAUGUGUAAAGCUAAAUUCGGGAUACGACAGGUGUAGACAGUCUUUCAGAUUUUACCAUGCAGAGGAUCUUGUAAACCAUAGGUUCUAUUACCAGAAAGAUAAACAAGAGCUGUUUGUAAAAUAUGUAUGAAAGAAAGAAAGAAUGAUAUUAAUAUUAUUAUCAUCAUUAUUGUCAUCAUCAUUUAAUAUUAAAUAAAAUGAUUCCUACACAAGCAGUUAAGCACAUCCCAUAGCUUGUAAAACAUUGUUCUAGUACUCUUCUCUCAUGUGACACACUUCAUGUACUUCCUGUGCAACUUAUUUUUUAGGACAACUACUGUGAACAAAUUCAGUAUCACGCUAUUUGUCAAAAGUCUGAUGCAUUGUUUGUUGAAUUUCAACCUUGGAACAAAACAAUAUAUUCAGAAGACUUAAUAAUAGAUGUAUCUGACGAAGCACCUGGUAGCGCAACUUUGUAUGUUGGCAUUAUGGUUGGCUGUAUUGUUGUCGGGGGCGUUGUAGCCGCCUACGCUGUUCGGCAGUGCUUUACUUCCCGAAGUGACAGAAGACAAACUGUUGAUCAACCACGAUCACAGCUGGCACAUAACAAUACGCUAGAUGAUUCACGAGAAUAUCGGUGUCCUGAUAAUUCUCCUAUGCCGCCACAAUAUGCCGACGUUAUGGCUGCCGAAAAUCGAGUCAACAACGUCAUCAGUACACAUAAUGGAGAUAUUUUAGAUGCAAGAAAUGACUUUUAUUUCAUAAGGAGCUAUCAUUCAUAUGGUUUGUACUAAGUAUGCUAGUUUGUCUAAAGGAGAAAUGACUAUUAUACCUAUUUCAUUCCUAUUAUAGUUUACUCAAUUUUGUAUAUGUCAUUUCACAAACUUUCGCCGCGAUUAAUGGGACUACCAUCUAACGAACUAUUAUAUAUCUACUGGGAAU